AAAGUCGUAACAAGGUUUCCUUCCCCCUAUUGAAGCCUUCCGCAGCGACUUAAUAAAUAACUGCGUAGCCUGCUUUGCAGACCACACCACGAAAGUGCUAGGACUUGAUUAACUUCGAGUACCAGCAGCCUAGAGUUCUAGGUCCACAGAUCAUGUAGUGGUGGUCAUUUGUGAUUGAGAUAUGACCGGUCUUAACUAAUUCUAGUUAAGAAUCAACGUUCCGUAGGUGAACCUGCGGAAGGAUCAUUAUUGAAAAGGGAACCCUUCGGGGUUCAACCUUAAACCCUUUGUCUUAAUUACCUGUUUCUUUGGCGGGCUCGCCCGUCAGAAGUUUUCUCAAACCCAUUAUAAAUGUGUCAUCUGAAUAACAAAAUAGAAUAAAACUUUCAACAACGGAUCUCUUGGUUCUG
RNAcentral lists this unclassified non-coding RNA (410 nucleotides) under Ascomycota sp. Its description in RNAcentral is "partial contains small subunit ribosomal RNA, internal transcribed spacer 1, and 5.8S ribosomal RNA". The record is from RNAcentral. Lineage: Eukaryota; Fungi; Ascomycota.